RNAcentral lists this ribosomal RNA (253 nucleotides) under uncultured bacterium. RNAcentral's name for it is "partial 16S ribosomal RNA". It matches the Rfam family "Bacterial small subunit ribosomal RNA", at positions 524 to 776 of the family's 1533-position model. The record is from RNAcentral.
UACAGAGACUGCAAGCGUUAUUCGGAUUCACUGGGCGUAAAGGGUGCGCAGGCGGCCAUGUGUGUCAGGUGUGAAAGCCCGAGGCUCAACCUCGGAAUUGCGCCUGAAACUACAUGGCUAGAGUACUGGAGAGGGUAGCGGAAUUCAUGGUGUAGCAGUGAAAUGCGUAGAUAUCAUGAGGAACACCAGUGGCGAAGGCGACUUACUGGACGACUGUUGACGCUGAGGUGCGAAAGCGUGGGGAGCAAACAGG